GCAGCGGGGAGUGAGGGCAGCUCCCAGGGAGCAGCGCACCCAAUGCCCAUGGCGACGGCUGAGGCAAAGACAGCCACAACCCUCUUGCCACCCACACUGGGACCUAAAGCCCCCAGGGAAGGGGAGAAUCGCGCGUGUCAUCUGCUCCCGGCCGUCCUCAGCGGUCCCCUGGCCGUGCCGCCUUUCCCUCAGCUCCAGGAGGUCCUCGCCCGGCAGUGUCCCCGAGCACCUCAUCUCGCCUCAUACAUCACCGAAAGAUGACGAGAGGGGCCGGGGAUGUAGCUCAGUGGUGCCAACGCCUGCCUCAUAAGCGCAAGGUCCUGAGUUCGAUCCCCAGUACCAAGAAAAAAAAAACAAAAACAUGACAAGGACCAGCUGAGUGGAACCUUGUCCAAAGCCAUCCUUGCUGCCUUUAUCGAGACACUGUUCAACCUGUGAAGAUGCUGCGAUCCCCCGUCUGCGGGUCCCUAUUUCUGUACAGAAUUAUUCCCAUCAGUACACAGCCGCACCACCAUCCCUCUCUGCCCACGCUGCCCUCUCCCGGGGCCUCCUGCUGCCUCCCAGGGCCUUCACACUGAGCUACAUCUUCGGCCACUUUAAAAAAUUUUGAGGUACUACCUCACUAAGUCGCUAAUUUCCCAGGCUGGGACUGAACUUGCAAUCCUCCCGUCCCGGCCUCCUAGAGUGCACGGGCGACAGGCCCGGUUUAGGGUCUGCUUUCUUCGCUGGUUUCCCCAGUACGAUCCCCCCAGCGUCCUCACUGUCACCCACCCUAGCCCAGCCCUGGGGCUCAGGGUGCCAGGACUUGGGAAAGUUGAUAGCCCUGCGAGGGCCG
RNAcentral lists this long non-coding RNA (835 nucleotides) under Fukomys damarensis (Damara mole-rat). RNAcentral describes it as "lncRNA (ENSFDAG00000030458.1)". Lineage: Eukaryota; Metazoa; Chordata; Mammalia; Rodentia; Bathyergidae. The record is from RNAcentral.